RNAcentral lists this ribosomal RNA (785 nucleotides) under uncultured bacterium. RNAcentral describes it as "bacterial SSU rRNA". It matches the Rfam family "Bacterial small subunit ribosomal RNA", at positions 79 to 885 of the family's 1533-position model. The record is from RNAcentral.
CUUGCUGCGUGGAUUAGUGGCGCACGGGUGAGUAAUAUAUAGGUAAUGUGCCUCUUAGUCUGGGAUAGCCAUUGGAAACGAUGAUUAAUACUGGAUACUCCUUCUAACUCUAAUGUUAGUCGGGAAAGUUUUUCGCUAAGAGAUCAGCCUAUAUCCCAUCAGUUAGUUGGUAAGGUAACGGCUUACCAAGGCAAUGACGGGUAGCGGGUUUGAGAGGAUGAUCCGCCACACUGGUACUGAGACACGGACCAGACUCCUACGGGAGGCAGCAGUGAGGAAUAUUGCACAAUGGGGGAAACCCUGAUGCAGCAACGCCGCGUGGAGGAUGACGCAUUUCGGUGUGUAAACUCCUUUUAUAUGUCAAGAAAAUGACGGUAGCAUAUGAAUAAGCACCGGCUAACUCCGUGCCAGCAGCCGCGGUAAUACGGAGGGUGCAAGCGUUACUCGGAAUCACUGGGCGUAAAGGACGCGUAGGCGGAUUGGAAAGUCAGAUGUGAAAUCCUACAGCUUAACUGUAGAACUGCAUUUGAAACUUCUAAUCUAGAGUAUGGGAGGGGGAGAUGGAAUUAGUGGUGUAGGGGUAAAAUCCGUAGAUAUCACUAGGAAUACCGAAAGCGAAGGCGAUCUCCUGGAACAUUACUGACGCUAAGGCGUGAAAGCGUGGGGAGCAAACAGGAUUAGAUACCCUGGUAGUCCACGCCCUAAACGAUGAACACUAGUCGUCGGGAUGCUUGUCAUCUCGGUGAUGCACUUAACAGAUUAAGUGUUCCGCCUGGGGAGUACGG